AUUGAACGCUGGCGGCAUGCCUUACACAUGCAAGUCGAACGGCAGCGGACCUUCGGGUGCCGGCGAGUGGCGAACGGGUGAGUAAUAUAUCGGAACGUACCUUUCAGUGGGGGAUAACGUAGGGAAACUUACGCUAAUACCGCAUACGACCUACGGGUGAAAGUGGGGGACCUUCGGGCCUCACGCGAUGAGAUGAGCCGAUGCCGGAUUAGCUAGUUGGCGGGGUAAAGGCCCACCAAGGCGACGAUCCGUAGCUGGUCUGAGAGGAUGAUCAGCCACACUGGAACUGAGACACGGUCCAGACUCCUACGGGAGGCAGCAGUGGGGAAUAUUGGACAAUGGGGGGCAACCCUGAUCCAGCCAUGCCGCGUGUGUGAAGAAGGCCUUCGGGUUGUAAAGCACUUUUGUUGGGGAAGAAACCGGCCGGGUUAAUACCCUGGUUGAAUGACGGUACCCAAAGAAUAAGCACCGGCUAACUUCGUG
This 483-nucleotide ribosomal RNA is filed under the name uncultured bacterium. RNAcentral describes it as "bacterial SSU rRNA". It matches the Rfam family "Bacterial small subunit ribosomal RNA", at positions 30 to 507 of the family's 1533-position model. The record is from RNAcentral.